Molecule: ribosomal RNA, 693 nt
Filed under: uncultured bacterium
Lineage: Bacteria
Description: bacterial SSU rRNA
Rfam family: Bacterial small subunit ribosomal RNA
Source: RNAcentral
AACGCUAGCUACAGGCUUAACACAUGCAAGUCGAGGGGCAGCAUGAUUGAAGCUUGCUUCAAUCGAUGGCGACCGGCGCACGGGUGAGUAACACGUAUCCAACCUGCCGAUAACUCGGGGAUAGCCUUUCGAAAGAAAGAUUAAUACCCGAUAGCAUAGUUUUUCCGCAUGGUUUCACUAUUAAAGAAUUUCGGUUAUCGAUGGGGAUGCGUUCCAUUAGGUAGUUGGCGGGGUAACGGCCCACCAAGUCAACGAUGGAUAGGGGUUCUGAGAGGAAGGUCCCCCACAUUGGAACUGAGACACGGUCCAAACUCCUACGGGAGGCAGCAGUGAGGAAUAUUGGUCAAUGGACGAGAGUCUGAACCAGCCAAGUAGCGUGAAGGAUGACUGCCCUAUGGGUUGUAAACUUCUUUUAUACGGGAAUAAAGUGGAGUAUGCAUACUCCUUUGUAUGUACCGUAUGAAUAAGGAUCGGCUAACUCCGUGCCAGCAGCCGCGGUAAUACGGAGGAUCCGAGCGUUAUCCGGAUUUAUUGGGUUUAAAGGGAGCGUAGGCGGGUGCUUAAGUCAGUUGUGAAAGUUUGCGGCUCAACCGUAAAAUUGCAGUUGAUACUAGGCGCCUUGAGUGCAGCAUAGGUAGGCGGAAUUCGUGGUGUAGCGGUGAAAUGCUUAGAUAUCACGAAGAACUCCGAUUG